GGGUUGUGAGGUUAAGCGACUAAGCGUACACGGUGGAUGCCCCGGCAGUCAGAGGCGAUGAAGGACGUGCUAAUCUGCGAAAAGCGUCGGUAAGGUGAUAUGAACCGUUAUAACCGGCGAUGUCCGAAUGGGGAAACCCAGUGCAAUUCGUUGCACUAUCGUUAACUGAAUACAUAGGUUAACGAGGCGAACCGGGGAACUGAAACAUCUAAGUACCCCGAGGAAAAGAAAUCAACCGAGAUUCCCCAGUAGCGGCGAGCGAACGGGGAGCAGCCCAGAGUCUGAAUCAGCUUGUGUGUUAGUGGAACGGUCUGGAAAGUCCGACGGUACAGGGUGAUAGUCCCGUACACCAAAAUGCACAGGCUGUGAACUCGAAGAGUAGGGCGGGACACGUGGUAUCCUGUCUGAAUAUGGGGACCAUCCUCCAAGGCUAAAUACUCCUGACUGACCGAUAGUGAACCAGUACCGUGAGGGAAAGGCGAAAAGAACCCCGGCGAGGGAGUGAAAAGAACCUGAAACCGUGUACGUACAAGCAGUGGGAGCACCUUCGGGUGUGACUGCGUACCUUUGUAUAAUGGGUCAGCGACUUAUAUUCUGUAGCAAGGUUAACCGUAUAGGGAGCCGCAGGGAAACCGAGUCUUAACUGGGCGUUAAGUUGCAGGGUAUAGACCCGAAACCCGGUGAUUCAGCCAUGGGCAGGUUGAAGGUUGGGUAACACUAACUGGAGGACCGAACCGACUAAUGUUGAAAAAUUAGCGGAUGACUUGUGGCUGGGGUGAAAGGCCAAUCAAACCGGGAGAUAGCUGGUUCUCCCGAAAGCUAUUUAGGUAGCGCCUCGUGAACUCAUCUUCGGGGUAGAGCACUGUUUCGGCUAGGGGUCAUCCCGACUUACCAACCCGAUGCAAACUACGAAUACCGAAGAAUGUUAUCACGGGAGACACACGGCGGGUGCUAACGUCCGUCGUGAAGAGGGAAACAACCCAGACCGCCAGCUAAGGUCCCAAAGUCAUGGUUAAGUGGGAAACGAUGUGGGAAGGCACAGACAGCCGGAUGUUGGCUUAGAAGCAGCCAUCAUUUAAAGAAAGCGUAAUAGCUCACUGGUCGAGUCGGCCUGCGCGGAAGAUGUAACGGGCUAAACCAUGCACCGAAGCUGCGGCAGCGACACUAUGUGUUGUUGGGUAGGGGAGCGUUCUGUAAGCCUGCGAAGGUGACCUGUGAGGCAUGCUGGAGGUAUCAGAAGUGCGAAUGCUGACAUAAGUAACGAUAAAGCGGGUGAAAAGCCCGCUCGCCGGAAGACCAAGGGUUCCUGUCCAACGUUAAUCGGGGCAGGGUGAGUCGACCCUAAGGCGAGGCCGAAAGGCGUAGUCGAUGGGAAACAGGUUAAUAUUCCUGUACUUGGUGUUACUGCGAAGGGGACGGAGAAGGCUAUGUUAGCCGGGCGACGGUUGUCCCGGUUUAAGCAUGUAGGCUGAUUGUCCGUGCAAAUCCGGAUAAUCAAGGCUGAGGUGUGAUGACGAGGCACUACGGUGCUGAAGUAACAAAUGCCCUGCUUCCGUGAAAGCCUCUAAGCAUCAGGUAACAUUAAAUCGUACCCCAAACCGACACAGGUGGUCAGGUAGAGAAUACCAAGGCGCUUGAGAGAACUCGGGUGAAGGAACUAGGCAAAAUGGUGCCGUAACUUCGGGAGAAGGCACGCUGGUGUGUAGGUGAAGUCCCUGCGGAUGGAGCUGAGACCAGUCGAAGAUACCAGCUGGCUGCAACUGUUUAUUAAAACACAGCACUGUGCAAACACGAAAGUGGACGUAUACGGUGUGACGCCUGCCCGGUGCCGGAAGGUUAAUUGAUGGGGUUAUCCGUAAGGAGAAGCUCUUGAUCGAAGCCCCGGUAAACGGCGGCCGUAACUAUAACGGUCCUAAGGUAGCGAAAUUCCUUGUCGGGUAAGUUCCGACCUGCACGAAUGGCGUAAUGAUGGCCGUGCUGUCUCCACCCGAGACUCAGUGAAAUUGAACUCGCUGUGAAGAUGCAGUGUACCCGCGGCAAGACGGAAAGACCCCGUGAACCUUUACUAUAGCUUGACACUGAACAUUGAGCCUUGAUGUGUAGGAUAGGUGGGAGGCUUUGAAGCGUGGACGCCAGUCUGCGUGGAGCCAACCUUGAAAUACCACCCUUUAAUGUUUGAUGUUCUAACGUUGGCCCCUGACCGGGGUUGCGGACAGUGUCUGGUGGGUAGUUUGACUGGGGCGGUCUCCUCCCAAAGCGUAACGGAGGAGCACGAAGGUUAGCUAAUCUCGGUCGGACAUCAGGAGGUUAGUGCAAUGGCAUAAGCUAGCUUGACUGCGAGCGUGACGGCGCGAGCAGGUGCGAAAGCAGGUCAUAGUGAUCCGGUGGUUCUGAAUGGAAGGGCCAUCGCUCAACGGAUAAAAGGUACUCCGGGGAUAACAGGCUGAUACCGCCCAAGAGUUCAUAUCGACGGCGGUGUUUGGCACCUCGAUGUCGGCUCAUCACAUCCCGGGGCUGAAGUAGGUCCCAAGGGUAUGGCUGUUCGCCAUUUAAAGUGGUACGCGAGCUGGGUUUAGAACGUCGUGAGACAGUUCGGUCCCUAUCUGCCGUGGGCGCUGGAGAAUUGAGGGGGCUGCUCCUAGUACGAGAGGACCGGAGUGGACGCAUCACUGGUGUUCGGGUUGUCAUGCCAAUGGCACUGCCCGGUAGCUAAAUGCGGAAGAGAUAAGUGCUGAAAGCAUCUAAGCACGAAACUUGCCCCGAGAUGAGUUCUCCCUGAGACUUUAAGUCUCCUGAAGGAACGUUGAAGACGACGACGUUGAUAGGCCGGGUGUGUAAGCGCAGCGAUGCGUUGAGCUAACCGGUACUAAUGAACCGUGAGGCUUAACCUUACAACGCCGAAG
This 2903-nucleotide ribosomal RNA is filed under the name Klebsiella pneumoniae. Its description in RNAcentral is "23S ribosomal RNA". It matches the Rfam family "Bacterial large subunit ribosomal RNA". The record is from RNAcentral. Lineage: Bacteria; Pseudomonadati; Pseudomonadota; Gammaproteobacteria; Enterobacterales; Enterobacteriaceae.